Molecule: ribosomal RNA, 253 nt
Filed under: uncultured bacterium
Lineage: Bacteria
Description: partial 16S ribosomal RNA
Rfam family: Bacterial small subunit ribosomal RNA
Source: RNAcentral
UACGAAGGGGGCUAGCGUUGCUCGGAAUCACUGGGCGUAAAGCGCACGUAGGCGGCCUCAUAAGUCGGAUGUGAAAGCCCGGGGCUCAACCCCGGAACUGCCCUCGAAACUAGAUAGCUAGAAUCUUGGAGAGGCGAGUGGAAUUCCGAGUGUAGAGGUGAAAUUCGUAGAUAUUCGGAAGAACACCAGUGGCGAAGGCGGCUCACUGGACUGGUACUGACGCUGAUGCGCGAAAGCGUGGGGAGCAAACAGG